RNAcentral lists this ribosomal RNA (492 nucleotides) under uncultured bacterium. RNAcentral describes it as "partial 16S ribosomal RNA". It matches the Rfam family "Bacterial small subunit ribosomal RNA", at positions 29 to 507 of the family's 1533-position model. The record is from RNAcentral.
AGUGAACGCUGGCGGUAGGCCUAACACAUGCAAGUCGAACGGCAGCACAGUAAGAGCUUGCUCUUACGGGUGGCGAGUGGCGGACGGGUGAGGAAUACAUCGGAAUCUACUUUUUCGUGGGGGAUAACGUAGGGAAACUUACGCUAAUACCGCAUACGGCCUACGGGUGAAAGCAGGGGAUCUUCGGACCUUGCGCGAUUGAAUGAGCCGAUGUCGGAUUAGCUAGUUGGCGGGGUAAAGGCCCACCAAGGCGACGAUCCGUAGCUGGUCUGAGAGGAUGAUCAGCCACACUGGAACUGAGACACGGUCCAGACUCCUACGGGAGGCAGCAGUGGGGAAUAUUGGACAAUGGGCGCAAGCCUGAUCCAGCUAUACCGCGUGGGUGAAGAAGGCCUUCGGGUUGUAAAGCCCUUUUGUUGGGAAAGAAAGGCAGCAGGUUAAUACCCCGCUGUUCUGACGGUACCCAAAGAAUAAGCACCGGCUAACUUCGUG